Non-coding RNA from Podarcis muralis (Common wall lizard), 503 nucleotides. The record is from RefSeq and is a predicted model, not a curated record. Lineage: Eukaryota; Metazoa; Chordata; Lepidosauria; Squamata; Lacertidae.
AAAAGGGAGUCCUUUUCUGGAGACACCGGGGUUUGUUGGCUGAUAUGCCAAGUGGUUGGCAGGCACUUGCCAGUGCUAACAUUUCUCACCCUCAUCUGGGCACAGCAGAAGCACCCCAUUCCUCACAAACUGAGAGAAGUAGCACUAGGCAGGUUAAGUAUUCCACAUAAAGGCUCCUCAAAUCAGACAACCUGAAUUGAACUUAAUUAGAAGAACUUGGAGUACUGAGGAAAAAGAAAAGAAAAGACAGAAUGCAGCUUGCCAGGUCUUCCUGACAAGAAAAGAUGCCGGGAAAGUGAGCAUGUGGAGGUGGAGCUGGGCUCACAAUCUCAAAGUAAAUCUGACUGCAGAAAGGUGUUGGAGAGGGAAUGAGACCUUGGUAAUGGACGACUUGGUAGGAAAAGAAAAGAAUGAGCAACUUCCUGGUGCCCACUAACACUCUUCCAUGAAUGGCCCUUCAGUCUGACAGUCAUUUCCACACAGCUGUGAGAAGCAUGCAUUGU